CAGGAUCCAACUUCGCUGCAGCUAUCCUUGACGACCUCGCAGACCCCCGGCAGUCAUGGCCAGCAAGAGCUUGCAGGACCUGAAGCAGCAAGUGCAGGGGGCGGCCCAGGAAGCAGGUGAGGACAGUGCUGCGACCCGGGGCACUUGCAGGGACUCACGGAGGCAGAAGUCCUGGGUUACGCAUCCCGAAAGUCGGUUGGCCGCUCCGGGUCCUGAGGGCCCUCCCUUGAGAUGCAGGGAUCCGGCAGGACGCCCACCCCGCCCAGUCCAAGGGAUGAUGCCUUGAGGGAGGUGGGGAAACAUUGGUGCCCCCUGAGUUCGGGGCGAUGUGGGCAUUGCCAGGAGCCAAUAUAAAGAGACUGCGCGGGAGGGGAGUGGCCACACCCUGAUCGAUCGUGAGAAGCCCCACCUCAGUCCUUAGGGGAGGGUGAAGGUCCACGGAGAGAGCGCACUUGGCACCCCGUGCACCUAGAGAUCCAUCUCUGCUCGCUGGGGUCUCAGAGGCGCACUGGACCGGAUGGGAUGGCAGAAGGGGCUCCUCCUGCCACCACCCGGCUUUGAGUUCCCCUACCUCCCCCGUCCUACCGAAAAAAAAUCAUUUCCUUCUAAGUCCUCACCCAGAGGGCCUUCUCACCCCUCACCUCAGAAGGUAGGUCCCCAGCCUUGUUUCUCCACCCCCAGCUCUUUCCUCCUGGGACCUGAGAUUACACAGCUGGGGUGGCAUAGGGUGGACUGGGGUUAGGAAAUGUGUGGAGACCCCUGCCCUAAGGCCCACCAGCUGUGGCUUUUCCAGCCCAGCUCGGCCUCCCCCGGGACUCCAGCUCCCAAUUUGUGCUGCACAUAUCCAAACGAACAGACAACACCCAAACUAACCCCCUCCUUCAUCAGUGCCCCAGGGAAUGCCCACAGUUGCUCCCCUGAAACUAAAAUGCUACCAGGAAGCCUGUCUACAAGACCCUUCCUUCUGGGCCACACUUUCCCCAUCUGUAAAUUGGGUGCAAAAGCUUCUUCUCUGUGGCCCCGACUGGUUCUGUCAUAUAAGGACCCAUGGGAGCCUCUGUGAGCAGCAGACCCGGGGCCUGCCUGACCCCCCUACACCUCCCUGACCCAGAGUCUGAGUAAAAGCAGCUUCUUUCCGGUUCAGUUGCAAGGAUGAGUCAGGUCUCUGGAGGCUGGAGCCACUUGUCUGCUCCCCUAGCAGGUGGGACCCACUUGAGCCCCUGGAAGCCCUGUUCACCACAGGCACAAACUCUGGUCCAGGGGAGAUGGCCUGACUUUGGAAGUGUCACCUCCGUUCUGGACUUCAUUUCCUAAUGCCUUAAGAUGCAUGCCCACAGAGGCACCAGCAUCAUUGUUUGUGUGCCUUCUGGGGAGAGGCAUGGGAGAGAAGCAGUGGUGAAAGGGCCUUGCAAGGGUGGGGCCCCUGUGCACUGGAGGUGGGAAUUCAGGCAUCUGGGCCAGGCUUCUGGGGGGAGAAAUUGUGAAAGAGGGACAGGGUUCUUCCCGGGCCGUGCCCAGGAGCAGCCACAACCCAGAUGCCAGCUCCAGCCUCUGUUGGGAUGUUUUCUCUGCAAUCCUGGAGAUGAAGAGAGAAGCAGGCCAGAGGGGAGGAGCCUAGAGUUAUAAAUAAACAAGAAUACCCCAGAGGCAUGGAAAGGGCCCCUAUGCCUCACUGGCGCAGGACUUUUUAGUCAGAGGACUUGACUUUGAUGGCAUUCAUCCCUUGGGCCUGUAGGACACACUACUCUAGAGAACAGAUAGAGGUGGCAAUGGUGGGGCCCCUGUGGUUGGCAGUGUCUCAAUAGGGACUAAGGGCCACAUCUCUCUGUUCCAGUGACUGCGGCAGGAUCAUCGGCCCAGCAAGUGGUGGACCAAGCCACAGAAGCAGGGCAGAAAGGUCUGGUGGGGCUGGUGGGCAGGAGGGCGGGCAGCCCCAGAACAUUCCCCACCCUAUUCAGCCCUCAGCCAGACAUACCCUCCACUCUGAAGCCCCUCUGUCCACAUUGCUUCCUGGGGAUGGAGACCCAGGCCAGGCUAACCCUAGAGGACUCUGGUUCCCAGGGCCUGGCCCUCACCUGCUUUCUCCUUUCCUUCCCCAGCCAUGGACCAGGUGGCCAAGGCCACCCAGGAAACCAUCGACAAGACUGCUAACCAGGCCUCUGAGACUUUCUCAGGUUUUGGGAAAAAAUUAGGCCUCAUAUAACGACAGAAGGGAGACAUGGGUGACUGCCCUCCAGCCCCUGGGCUUUGGCGGGCCCUUGGCCUGCUGCCUUAUUAAAGCACAUGUUCCUACCUCCUGUCCACUUCAUUCCUCCCCACAAGCCGGGCCCAGCCCUCUCUCGCCCCCGCCCUGCACAGUGUGCAGAAACCCAGCCCCGACAUCCAGAGUUCUGGCAUUCCAAAUUCGGAAACCCAUACGAACUGUCCAAGAAUUCUUUUCCCAUGGUCUCAACCGCAAAUCCAGACGCUCCC
This 2472-nucleotide long non-coding RNA is filed under the name Lynx pardinus (Iberian lynx). Lineage: Eukaryota; Metazoa; Chordata; Mammalia; Carnivora; Felidae. The record is from RNAcentral.